AGCAGCCGCGGUAAUUCCAGCUCCAAUAGCGUAUAUUAAAGUUGUUGCAGUUAAAAAGCUCGUAGUUGAAUUUUGGAUUCUGCCAAUUGGUCCAUCUUUUAGAUGAGUACUGGUUGUGUGGGGUCUAUCCGCCUGGUGAUACGUAAUGUCCUUUAUUGGAUGUUGCGGGUAGUCAGGACCUUUACCUUGAAAAAAUUAGAGUGUUUAAAGCAGGCUUAUGCCGGAAUACAUUAGCAUGGAAUAAUAGAAUAGGACGAAGUUGUUUUAUUUUGUUGGUUUCUAGGACAACCGUAAUGAUUAAUAGGGAUAGUUGGGGGCAUUAGUAUUCAAUUGUCAGAGGUGAAAUUCUUGGAUUUAUUGAAGACUAACUACUGCGAAAGCAUUUGCCAAGGAUGUUUUCAUUAAUCAAGAACGAAAGUUUGGGGAUCGAAGNCGAUCAGAUACCGUCGUAGUCUUAACCAUAAACUAUGCCGACUAGGGAUCGGGCGAUGUUGUUUCCAUGACUCGCUCGGCACCUUAU
RNAcentral lists this unclassified non-coding RNA (520 nucleotides) under uncultured Glomus. Its description in RNAcentral is "SSU rRNA". It matches the Rfam family "Eukaryotic small subunit ribosomal RNA", at positions 569 to 1091 of the family's 1831-position model. The record is from RNAcentral. Lineage: Eukaryota; Fungi; Glomeromycota; Glomeromycetes; Glomerales; Glomeraceae.